ACCCGCACGUUCUCUUUACUUGCGAGUCUGACGAAGACAGGCGUCAAUAAGUCGCCAUGCCUGUUGCCAGGACUUGGGUUUGUAGUAAGACAUAUGUCACCCCUAGACGUCCCUUCGAGAAGUCCCGUCUCGACCAAGAGUUGAAACUCAUUGGCGAGUAUGGACUCAGGAAUAAGAGAGAGGUGUGGAGGGUGAAGUUUACUUUGGCCAAAAUCCGCAAGGCUGCCAGAGAGCUUCUGACUCUGGACGAGAAGGAUGCCAGGCGUCUCUUUGAGGGUAACGCCUUGCUCAGGCGUCUGGUGCGUAUUGGAGUGCUGGAUGAGGGAAAGAUGAAGCUCGAUUACAUUCUGGGCUUGAAAGUGGAAGAUUUCUUGGAGAGAAGGCUGCAGACUCAGGUCUUCAAGCUCGGCCUUGCCAAGAGCAUCCACCAUGCUCGUGUGCUCAUCCGUCAGAGGCACAUCAGCUGACCAUGUUUAAAGCCCUCCUGGUGAGUGGGAUAUGAAAUAUUUCCGCAAGGUCAAUUCGGUGAUUAAACCGUAUACCUUUGCCUGUUAUAAAAAGCUCAAAGCCUCACAUGAUGACUGGGUGCUUUAUGCAAGAAACAGAGUCUUAACAGGGUGCGAAAGCAGGUUGUGAACAUCCCAUCCUUUGUGGUGAGGCUGGACAGCCAGAAGCACAUCGACUUCUCUCUCCGUUCUCCAUACGGUGGUGGUCGCCCUGGCCGUGUAAAGAGAAAGAAUGCCAAGAAGGGCCAGGGUGGUGCUGGAG
Misgurnus anguillicaudatus (oriental weatherfish) is the source of this 768-nucleotide RNA transcript. It is a transcript of the gene named ribosomal protein S9, with no coding region annotated. The record is from RefSeq and is a predicted model, not a curated record. NCBI's taxonomy places the organism in Eukaryota, Metazoa, Chordata, Actinopteri, Cypriniformes, Cobitidae.